GACGGACGCUGGCGGCAUGCCUAAUACAUGCAAGUCGAGCGAACAGAUGAAGUGCUUGCACUUCUGACGUUAGCGGCGAACGGGUGAGUAACACGUAAGGAAUCUACCUAUAAGCGGGGGAUAACAUUCGGAAACGGGUGCUAAUACCGCAUAAUAUCUUCUUCCGCAUGGAAGAAGAUUGAAAGACGGCUCUGCUGUCACUUAUAGAUGACCUUGCGGUGCAUUAGUUAGUUGGUGGGGUAGUGCCUACCAAGACGAUGAUGCAUAGCCGACCUGAGAGGGUGAACGGCCACAUUGGGACUGGGACACGGCCCAAAGUCCUACGGGAGGCAGCAGUAGGGAAUCUUCCGCAAUGGGCGAAAGCCUGACGGAGCAAUGCCGCGUGAGUGAAGAAGGCCUUCGGGUCGUAAAACUCUGUUAUAAGAGAAGAACAAAUUGUAGAGUAACUGCUACAGUCUUGACGGUAUCUUAUCAGAAAGCCACGGCUAACUACGUGCCAGCCGCCGCCGUAA
RNAcentral lists this ribosomal RNA (512 nucleotides) under uncultured bacterium. RNAcentral describes it as "partial 16S ribosomal RNA". It matches the Rfam family "Bacterial small subunit ribosomal RNA", at positions 28 to 523 of the family's 1533-position model. The record is from RNAcentral.